GGUCCCGUUGGCUCAAAAUAUAUUCUUCCUAUGAUACAGAGAAGAUGAGCAUGGGCCCUGAGCAAGGAUGACAAGCUAAUUCGUGAAGCGUUCCAUAUUUUU
Molecule: small nuclear RNA, 102 nt
Organism: Leptonychotes weddellii (Weddell seal)
Lineage: Eukaryota; Metazoa; Chordata; Mammalia; Carnivora; Phocidae
Source: RefSeq, a predicted model, not a curated record